RNAcentral lists this ribosomal RNA (468 nucleotides) under uncultured bacterium. RNAcentral describes it as "partial 16S ribosomal RNA". It matches the Rfam family "Bacterial small subunit ribosomal RNA", at positions 28 to 507 of the family's 1533-position model. The record is from RNAcentral.
GACGAACGCUGGCGGCGUGCUUAACACAUGCAAGUCGAACGGAAAGGCCCUGCUUUUGUGGGGUGCUCGAGUGGCGAACGGGUGAGUAACACGUGAGUAACCUGCCCUUGACUUUGGGAUAACUUCAGGAAACUGGGGCUAAUACCGGAUAGGAGCUCCUGCUGCAUGGUGGGGGUUGGAAAGUUUCGGCGGUUGGGGAUGGACUCGCGGCUUAUCAGCUUGUUGGUGGGGUAGUGGCUUACCCAGGCUUUGACGGGUAGCCGGCCUGAGAGGGUGACCGGCCACAAUGGGACUGCGAUACGGCCCAGACUCCUACGGGAGGCAGCAGUGGGGAAUAUUGCACAAUGGGCGGAAGCCUGAUGCAGCAACGCCGCGUGCGGGAUGACGGCCUUCGGGUUGUAAACCGCUUUCGCCUGUGACGAAGCGUGAGUGACGGUAAUGGGUAAAGAAGCACCGGCUAACUACGUG